RNAcentral lists this ribosomal RNA (428 nucleotides) under uncultured bacterium. RNAcentral describes it as "bacterial SSU rRNA". It matches the Rfam family "Bacterial small subunit ribosomal RNA", at positions 355 to 775 of the family's 1533-position model. The record is from RNAcentral.
UGGGGAAUUUUGGACAACGGGCGCAAGCCUGAUCCAGCCAUGCCGCGUGUGUGAAGAAGGCCUUCGGGUUGUAAAGCACUUUCGGACGGAACGAAAUCGCGCGGGUUAACAGCGCGCGUGGAUGACGGUACCGUAAGAAGAAGCACCGGCUAACUACGUGCCAGCAGCCGCGGUAAUACGUAGGGUGCGAGCGUUAAUCGGAAUUACUGGGCGUAAAGGGUGCGCAGGCGGCCCCGCAAGUCAGGCGUGAAAUCCCCGGGCUUAACUUGGGAAUGGCGCUUGAAACUACGGGGCUGGAGUGUGGCAGAGGGAGGUGGAAUUCCACGUGUAGCGGUGAAAUGCGUAGAGAUGUGGAGGAACACCGAUGGCGAAGGCAGCCUCCUGGGCCAACACUGACGCUCAUGCACGAAAGCGUGGGGAGCAAACAG